This 192-nucleotide ribosomal RNA is filed under the name uncultured Saccharomyces. Its description in RNAcentral is "partial 26S ribosomal RNA". It matches the Rfam family "Eukaryotic large subunit ribosomal RNA", at positions 81 to 272 of the family's 3401-position model. The record is from RNAcentral. Lineage: Eukaryota; Fungi; Ascomycota; Saccharomycetes; Saccharomycetales; Saccharomycetaceae.
UAUUACGGCGAGUGAGCGGCAAAAGCUCAAAUUUGAAAUCUGGUACCUUCGGUGCCCGAGUUGUAAUUUGGAGAGGGCAACUUUGGGGCCGUUCCUUGUCUAUGUUCCUUGGAACAGGACGUCAUAGAGGGUGAGAAUCCCGUGUGGCGAGGAGUGCGGUUCUUUGUAAAGUGCCUUCGAAGAGUCGAGUUG